RNAcentral lists this ribosomal RNA (772 nucleotides) under uncultured bacterium. Its description in RNAcentral is "bacterial SSU rRNA". It matches the Rfam family "Bacterial small subunit ribosomal RNA", at positions 8 to 796 of the family's 1533-position model. The record is from RNAcentral.
AGAGUUUGAUCCUGGCUCAGGACGAACGCUGGCGGCGUGCUUAACACAUGCAAGUCGAACGAGGUUCAUCCUUCGGGAGAAGACCUAGUGGCGAACGGGUGCGUAACACGUGAGCAACCCGCCCCGAAGACCGGGAUAACAGCGGGAAACCGCUGCUAAUACCGGAUACCCCCACCAGAUCGCAUGGUCAGGUGAGGAAAUGGAUUCUGCUUCGGGAGGGGCUCGCGGCCUAUCAGCUUGUUGGCGGGGUAACGGCCCACCAAGGCAACGACGGGUAGCUGGUCUGAGAGGACGAUCAGCCACACUGGGACUGAGACACGGCCCAGACUCCUACGGGAGGCAGCAGUGGGGAAUCUUGCGCAAUGGGCGAAAGCCUGACGCAGCAACGCCGCGUGAGGGACGACGGCCUUCGGGUUGUAAACCUCUUUCAAGCAGGGACGAUGAUGACGGUACCUGCAGAAGAAGCUCCGGCCAACUACGUGCCAGCAGCCGCGGUAAUACGUAGGGAGUAAGCGUUGUCCGGAAUCAUUGGGCGUAAAGAGCUCGUAGGCGGUUUGGUAAGUCGGAUGUGAAACCCCCAGGCUCAACCUGGGGCAGCCAUCCGAUACUGCCAUGACUUGAGUCCGGUAGGGGCCCACGGAACUCCUGGUGUAGCGGUGAAAUGCGCAGAUAUCGGGAAGAACACCGGUGGCGAAGGCGGUGGGCUGGGCCGGUACUGACGCUGAGGAGCGAAAGCGUGGGGAGCGAACAGGGUUAGAUACCCUGGUAGUCU